GGUGGUGGCUCAGUGGUAGAGCACCUGCUUAGCAUGCAGGAGGUCCUGGGUUCAAUCCUCAGCACCUCCA
Molecule: transfer RNA, 70 nt
Filed under: Camelus bactrianus (Bactrian camel)
Lineage: Eukaryota; Metazoa; Chordata; Mammalia; Artiodactyla; Camelidae
Also listed under: 2 other names
Rfam family: tRNA
About the family: Transfer RNA (tRNA) molecules are approximately 80 nucleotides in length. Their secondary structure includes four short double-helical elements and three loops (D, anti-codon, and T loops).
Source: Rfam by way of RNAcentral